ACUUAAAUAGUUUAAAUAAGAUAUUGAUUUGUGGUGUCAAUGAUAUGAAUUAUAUUCAUUUUAGGUC
RNAcentral lists this transfer RNA (67 nucleotides) under Cerconychia flectospina. Its description in RNAcentral is "tRNA-His". The record is from RNAcentral. Lineage: Eukaryota; Metazoa; Arthropoda; Insecta; Plecoptera; Styloperlidae.